AGCUCACAGGUGUCAUCUGAGAUCUUCCAGGAUGUCUAGAUGCAGCUGGUAAACGUGACAUAGGACCUGUAGCAGAUCUGUUCACUUCAGGAACUUGUAGGGGAGGCUGUCUAAGGUAUUCUGCUGGACUUGCUUCUCUCCAGUUCUGGUUUUUGAUUCUGCUAGCAGCUUGCAGGUGUCUGUCCUUCAUAGCCAGUGUUUGCUUUCAGACAGGCAAAAGAGCAGUAUCAAACUUGAAUAAAUCAACUGUGGAUGCCCCUUUUUUGAAUAAGUUUUGAAUAUUCUGCUGACAGACUGAUUUCUUCAUCUUACUGGUGAUUUUCCAGCUUAGUAAAGGUAACCCCUUGGAAUUCCAUCAUCAAAUAAAGUUCUACAUUUGCACA
This 383-nucleotide long non-coding RNA is filed under the name Parus major (Great Tit). RNAcentral describes it as "lncRNA (ENSPMJG00000001347.1)". Lineage: Eukaryota; Metazoa; Chordata; Aves; Passeriformes; Paridae. The record is from RNAcentral.